UACGUAGGGCGCAAGCGUUGUCCGGAAUUAUUGGGCGUAAAGAGCUCGUAGGCGGUUUGUCGCGUCGGAUGUGAAAGCCCGGGGCUUAACUCCGGGUCUGCAUUCGAUACGGGCAGACUAGAGUGUGGUAGGGGAGAUCGGAAUUCCUGGUGUAGCGGUGAAAUGCGCAGAUAUCAGGAGGAACACCCGUGGCGAAAGCGGCUCUCUGGGACGGUACUGACGCUGAGACGCGAAAGCGUGGGGAGCAAACAGG
This 253-nucleotide ribosomal RNA is filed under the name uncultured bacterium. RNAcentral describes it as "partial 16S ribosomal RNA". It matches the Rfam family "Bacterial small subunit ribosomal RNA", at positions 524 to 776 of the family's 1533-position model. The record is from RNAcentral.